This 472-nucleotide ribosomal RNA is filed under the name uncultured bacterium. RNAcentral describes it as "bacterial SSU rRNA". It matches the Rfam family "Bacterial small subunit ribosomal RNA", at positions 37 to 507 of the family's 1533-position model. The record is from RNAcentral.
UGGCGGCAUGCCUUACACAUGCAAGUCGAACGGCAGCGGACCUUCGGGUGCCGGCGAGUGGCGAACGGGUGAGUAAUAUAUCGGAACGUACCUUCAGUGGGGGAUAACGUAGCGAAAGUUACGCUAAUACCGCAUAUUCUGUGAGCAGGAAAGCAGGGGAUCGCAAGACCUUGCGCUGAUUGAGCGGCCGAUAUCAGAUUAGCUAGUUGGUGAGGUAAAGGCUCACCAAGGCGACGAUCUGUAGCGGGUCUGAGAGGAUGAUCCGCCACACUGGAACUGAGACACGGUCCAGACUCCUACGGGAGGCAGCAGUGGGGAAUUUUGGACAAUGGGCGCAAGCCUGAUCCAGCCAUGCCGCGUGAGUGAAGAAGGCCUUCGGGUUGUAAAGCACUUUCAGCAAUGAAGAAGUGUAUUAUGCUAAUAUCAUAAUAUAUUGACGUUAGUUGCAGAAGAAGUACUGGCUAACUCUGUG